Non-coding RNA from Cordylochernes scorpioides, 76 nucleotides. The record is from the annotation of a GenBank genome assembly. NCBI's taxonomy places the organism in Eukaryota, Metazoa, Arthropoda, Arachnida, Pseudoscorpiones, Chernetidae.
GGUCAUGUGGCCUAGUGGUCAUGGCAUCUGCCCGGUAAGCGGAAGGUCGUGGGUUCGAUUCCCAUCCCUUGGAACU